RNAcentral lists this ribosomal RNA (255 nucleotides) under uncultured bacterium. Its description in RNAcentral is "partial 16S ribosomal RNA". It matches the Rfam family "Bacterial small subunit ribosomal RNA", at positions 524 to 776 of the family's 1533-position model. The record is from RNAcentral.
UACGUAGGGGGCAAGCGUUGUCCGGAUUUAUUGGGCGUAAAGAGCGUGUAGGCGGCCUGACAGGUCUGCUGUGAAAACUCGAGGCUCAACCUCGAGAUGUCGGCGGAAACCGUCUGGCUAGAGUCCGGAAGAGGAGAGUGGAAUUCCUGGUGUAGCGGUGAAAUGCGCAGAUAUCAGGAAGAACACCUAUGGCGAAGGCGGGUCUCUGGGCCGAUACUGACGCUGGAGGAGCGGAAAGCAUGGGUAGCGAACAGG